Long non-coding RNA from Dermacentor albipictus, 3878 nucleotides. RefSeq lists it as uncharacterized. Lineage: Eukaryota; Metazoa; Arthropoda; Arachnida; Ixodida; Ixodidae. The record is from RefSeq and is a predicted model, not a curated record.
GGCGCUGCGUUGGUCGUCCAUUCCCUGGGCCGGUCGUCCUGCCGCCCUCGGCGUCUAGCCGUCGAAUACGUAACAGCUGGUGGCAGCGGACUGCGGACAGCGGAUGGAGCGCACGUCGGCGGUGGCCUUGGCGUCCGGUUUGAUCAAUGAGGGACUUGCAAAACGCCGGAAUGGAACUACAUGCGAACCCUGUAAUGGUCGUCACAAGGUCCCACACAAGAGCGCAAGCUACUAACGCUACUCGUGCCGCCGACAUUCCACAGCAAGGUGAUUCGUCACAAGCUGCCGCAACGAGCGAAGCCGUUCCAGCCGCACCAUCCGUUGAUAACACCCCGGUCGCUUCCGCGCCCGGAGACGCAACGAUAAGCCCAGUCAGUGAUAGCUUUCAACUUCUUGCGGAAAUAGACAAAAGCAUUCUCAAAACGGAUCAAGCGAACGACGAGUCACUGCAAACGUGCUGGGAAAGGUCAAGACAGAACCAGAAGGGAGCAGUAAAAGACGGCCUCUUGUACCGAACAUUCAAAAACAAGACCGGUCUUUCGAACAGCUGGUAGUUCCCCAGAAGUAUCAUGCUGCACUUCUCGAUCUGGUUCAUAGCAAUAGCUGGGCUGGUCAUUUAGGGAUAAAUAAAACUAAGAGCAGAUUACUGAACGACUACUACUGGCCGAUGUGCUUCAAGGAAUCUGAGCAAUGGGUACGUUCUUGCAACGUUUGCCAAAGGGCCGGACGGCCAAACGAAAAAUUCAAGGCGCCUUUGGUCCGAGUGCCUUUGAUUGGCGAACCUUUUCGCAUAUUGGUAGUGGACAUCGUUGGUCCAUUACCAGUCACAUCGGCGGGCAACAAAUACUUGCUAACGCUCAUUUGCCCUGCCACGAAGUUUCCGGAAGCAGUGGUGUUACCGGAAUUAAGCUGCACAGCUGUAGCCAACGCGCUACUCGGCGUCUUUGCCAGAAUCGAAUUUCCCAGUGAAAUCCACUGCGACCAAGGUUCUGUGUUUACAAGCGCGUUUACCACGACAUUCCUGCGGAAAUGUGGCAUAUCCAUUCACCACAGCUCUGUCUACCACCCGCAAAGUUGAAAAACUUCGCUCGGUAAUGAAGCGCAUUCUGCGUGCGCUCUGCUUCGAGAAGGGCACCGACUGGGACACAGCUGUUCCCGCAAUGCUCUUUGCUCUGCGCUCAGUCACUCACGAAGCAACUGGAUGCACCCCGGCGGAACUUGUUUACGGUCGAGCGCUUCGCUCCCCGCUUACCUUGCUAAAGGAAAAGUGGGAAGACAAAUUCGUAGACAAAUCUGUUGUCGAGUACGUGCUCGCCUUGUUGAAACGCCUUCGUGAAUCGCAAGAAUUGGCGCAGAUAACCAUGGCAGAAGCGCAGCAACGCGCGAAGAUGUGUUACGACAGAUCUGCACGCACUCGAUCCUUCAAGGAAGGCGAUAAAGUGCUAAUUUUGAAGUCAUCGAAGGCAAACAAACUGGAAGUAGCAUGGGAUGGCCCGGUCACGGUUAAGCAAAAGCUUUCAGACACCACUUACCUGGUAACGACGCCCGGUAAACGCAACGAUGUGACAACCUACCACUGCAAUCUAAUGAAGCCAUUUAUCGAACGUAUGGAGACGCUGAGCAUCGUCCUAAACGAACCAGAGGAAAUAAAUGUUCUAGUCCCUCAUGUACCGACCCCUUGCUCUUCCCCGUCAACAGAAGAAAUACUCGAAUCUGUCACUAAACAAGCUUCUUUAACAAUCGAGCAAAGAAAGGACUUACAAGAGCUUGUACACAACUUCCGCGAUUUGUUCAGUCCCUAUCCCGGUAAGACAAACCUUGUGGAACACGACAUUGAGUUCACAUCUGACCAACCCUUCCGUACAAGGAUGCACAGAUUUUCGCCCCGCCAUGAGAAGCUGCUGAACGAUUCCGUUCACAACAUGUUGACACUGGGUUUAAUUGUGCCAGGGGAAAGCGAAUACGUGUCAGCAAUGUUUAUCGUAGAAAGUCCGGGCAAGGAACCCAGACCCUGUAUUGACUAUCGUAAGCUGAAUGCGAUAACAAAAACGAAGACGUUUCCCAUUCCUAAUGUUGAAGCCUUGAUCGAGAAAGUUUCCGUGGCACAGUACAUUUCUACGUUAGAUAUGGUACGCGGCUUCUGGCAAGUGCCACUGACAGAGAACGCCACUAAGCUCGCCGCUUUCAUGACUCCGACAGCCAUAUAUCGCCCUCUGGUGCUCACUUUCGGCCUCAAGAAUGCACCGUUCGUAUUUUCAAAACUAAUGAAUCAAGUGCUCACGCGCACCGAGUCUUUCGCUGCGCCUUACCUCUAUGACAUCGCUGUUUUCUCGAGCACCUGGAAACAGCACUUGGACCAUCUGCAGCAGGUAUUCCUUCGAAUCCGCGAAGAAGGCUUGACUCUCAAACUGAGUAAAUGCUGUCUUGCAAACACUGAAGUCCACUACUUGGGGCACGUCGUUGGCCAAGGGAAGCGACGCCCUUCCGAAUUAAAAGUUGAGGCCAUCACUAGCUUUCCUUUGCCAAAAUCAAAGACCAACUUGCGUUCCUUUUUGGGUUUAGCUGAUUAUUACAGAAGCUACAUUCCGAACUUCGCACAUAUCGCUAGUCCUCUUACAGAUGCUCUGCGCAAGACCAAGCCUACUAUUGUGCGUUGGAAUACGGCGCGUAAGGACGCAUUUGCUGCGAUUAAAAAGAUUCUUGUCAGCGCACCGGUUCUCGCGGCACCAGAUUACUCUCUCCCUUUCAUAGUUCAGUGUGACGCCAGUGACCACGGAAUGCGCGUUCUUUUAAGUCAGGUGAACGAAAAAGGCGAGGAGCACCCUGUUGUCUACGCAAGUCGAAAGCUAACGUCACGCGAGCAAGCCUACAGCACAACAGAAAAAGAAUGCGCUUGCUUAGUGUGGGCUCUCGAAAAGCUCUCAUGUUACUUGAAAGGUUCUUCCUUUAUUUUUGAAACCGAUCAUUCCCCCUUAGUGUGCUUAAACCAAAUGUCAAACAAAAAUGGUCGCUUGAUGAGGUGGAGUCUAGCGCUCCAACAGUUCGAUUUUCUAGUGCGCCACAAGAAAGGCAAACGCCAUGCCAAUGCUGACUGCCUUAGCCGCAUUCCCUAGUUUCCUUUCUCUUUAUUCCUUUUUCUCGUGUGCACGCCAGUAAAUGCAAGUCUUUUUAUUCUCGCGUUUAGUUUUCGCGUGUUCUGCUCCCAAUGAAUUCAACUGCCCGGCUUUCCUAAACAUGGGCGCGAGGUUACUUCUGACGUUGUUACUGCGUUUCUUCCGCUCUUCCGAAUGCCUCUUCAGAUCCUGUCGUACCGGCUGACGGAUGAACCCUACUCCAGAGCUUAGAACCACAGAAAGCUGAGCUAGUAGAGGUCUGCAGUCCCCUGUCGCUACGUGCUCGGCAGCCUUCCGGCACUCGGCGAGCAGUGCUAAAUAUGAGCGUCACCUCCUCCUGGACGUCUCAACCCCUCUCCAUGGGCCUGUGGUUCGAGCCUCAAGACGCUUGGUGCCUUCUCCACCAUUACUGCGGUGUCCAGCUCAACUUGCCCGCCUCUGCCACCGAGCACCUCAACGCGCUUUUCCAAGCGCAAGGACAAUAUGAUCUUGCGAACGCUUCAGUGCUGUGCUUGGACAAGCUAGUUGCCCUCCUGUAUACCGCCUUCAGUUGUUCAAGAAGCGUCAUCCUCUUGAACGCCUUCCGCACAGGGUAGCUUUGGCUGAGCUGUAACAUUCGCGGUGCUGGUCGCACUCUCCGUUGCAAUCUACAGAUCAGAUUGGCCCGCUUGCCACAAUAUCUUUCUUUAUUUCGCCACUCCCUGAUUGGCUGCUUAGCGCUUAAAAAGCGCGUCGCCGACCGAAUAAAUGUGAUUGUCUUCCUGG